UGACGUGUAACACACACAGUGACUCUGAUGAAUGAGAAGCACUGUCAGGAUUCCUGAAGCGGCCAGGACCUUAACGAGCUCGACACAGCCCAACGCGGUAACGGUUAUGGCACUGUGAGGUUCUUCCAAGCUUGGUUGGCUGAAUGAAUGAAACACGUCUGCAGCUGUCUGACAGGAGAGAAAGAUACGUACACUACCGAGCAGGCAUAGCAGCCCUGUUUACUGCUUUCCCGGACCAGGAAGGUGCCAUCUCGCUUCCCCCGGAGCAGGUUUUCAGCCUUGUUUCUGUUGCUGCUGCCGACAUUCCAUGUCUUCUCGUCGUGGUGCGGCAAAUCCUCAUCAUCCUCCACCAGCGAGUAUUGGCUAAGGAGGCAGGAGACAAAGGUUGGACAUGAAGCCCUGGGAGAGGUCACCUCUCCCACCGAGCCUGUCAGGCCAGCCACUGCGGCUCCGACUCAGGCGGCACUUGGCUGUGGAGCUCAGCCUUCCAUGUGACCUCCCUGGACAAAGAGCCCCAGUAGUAAGAGUCUUCCUCUUUGUAAGUCAGGAGCUGCAUGUAGGCAGCUGGGCAGAGGGGAAGGUAUCAAACGAUCCUGUUUGUCCAGUUCAGAUCAGGAAACCGACGGACUAGGAGGACUGCCAGUUUCUCAUGUAAUUCAAACAAAACCCAGCCUUAAGCUUUAGAGGUACACUGAACAGAAUUGUGUCCUUUUUUUCCUCCCGACUGUUCCAGAAACCCACUGGGGAUUUUUACAGGUUUGGGGCCUUCCUUCUAGACAGAGUCACUCAAUUGCACUGUGGGUAAAAACUAACUCUGCAUCCUUCACUAAACUUUCCUUUUUUGUAACAUUCUGGAUAAUGCGAUGUGGUUUACAGAAGAUGUUCCAAACUCCGUGAAAUUCCUCCCUUGGUCUGCAAACAAAGUCACGAGUUCUCUUACCAUGAAGACCCCCCCGCCCCCGCCAGCCCCCGGGCAGCCUCCCACCUACGGUGAGCACUCACUCUUCAGUGUUCUCAUUGCCCAGCCACUCGUUCAGCUUCUUCUGCCGAACACCUUUCUGAGUCAACCACCUGGAAGACAGUUAGAAAAGGAAAAUGCAUUAAUCAUGGAUCCUUGGUUUUGGCAACGGCCGGUCAUUUGCUCCCAGGGUUCUGCCUCGAGGACUUACAUCAAGUAUUGGUCUCUUGUCUUUCUCAGCUGAAUGAGGUCUGGUUUAAUGCUGUUCAUGCGCUUGUCAAUCUCCCGAUACUCAGCUGCCUGUUUCUUCAAGUCCUCCUCCAGUCGUCUUCUACUGUCCACAAUUUCGCUGAUGCGAGACUUCAACUUUUCAUAAUUAUGCAUAAUCCUAUAGGCAAGAGUAAGGCAUCGGUCAUGACCUGCUUCACCACAAUGGUUUCCCACAGCUUAUACAAAGUCAGAAAGAAUGCUUUCUCGUGCUGCCAUUUUUAAAAAUUAUUCAAAGGGCAGAAAGCAAGAUCAUCUUUCAACAGUUCUGGAGGAUUUGCAUUAUUAUCUUGAGCACAGGGACGACCCUCAUGGUUCACCAACCUUUGUAUUUCUUUCUCAUUGCCUUCCCGUUUAAAUUUUUCUAUGUAUUCUUUGCUGUACCGUUCUUGGCUUUGGCACUGCUCUUCAAAUAUUUUUAUGGUUUCAUUAAAUGCUUCAAUAGCUGUUCUUUUCAUCUGGAUUUCCUACAACACAAUGUUUAAUAAGACAAUGUCAUACCUUUCACAGAACGGAUAAUUUGUUACUGUGAGACACUGCCGGGACAUUUGAUGGUAUUCCUGUCUAGCAUGGAAGGGACUGUGUUAGCAAGGAAGGCCUCUAAUUCACAAAACCCAUUAAAAUAGUAUCACAGAAGCACACAUUUCCUUUGGGAAUUUUCCCAGUCUAUGAAAGCAGACUGCCUAACAAUUUCCUAUAGUUUUCAUUUUAAAAGCCAUUCCCCUUUAUCAGCAAUUUAAGGAAUCCAUGUUGCCUUCUACUCCCUCUGGUGGUUCUAGAUACAUCAUAGCCUAGAGAAGAUUACCUCUCCAGGAAAACAUUGUCAUAAAUGGAGCUUCUAUACUUUUUUUAUUUUUUUUUUUUAUUACAGGGCAUCAAAAAGUUAAAUCUUCAUUUUGGAGGUCAGACAAGUUUGUGGAACUUUUUGAGUUGUUACGUCGAAUCCACUUGAAACUCCCAGCGACCUCUGCAAUUAUCAUCACGAGAACUCAUUCUGACACUUACGAGCUUCAUUUAAAAGCUUCAAUAUUAUCUUCUUUGACAACUUGAUCCUGGAAGAAUGAGAGAUGGGAAGAAGACUUCAGUUCAUUGGCUAUGCAGUCCAGUAACUGGCCACUCUCAAACUGUAAUUUUGUGACCACAGGUAUAAAGUUUUUGAAAUUUUAUUACAUGCAAUUCACCUGCUUCACAAUGUUUUCUAAGGAUUUGAAAGUGUCUUGUCUAAACAUUGUAACGUGAGCAUUUCAGUUUUGAAUACCUGUUGGUAUUUGGAUACUGGAUAAAGUAAUUUCACGUCCAGUUUGGGAUUAUACUGAGCUAGGGACUCAUUCCGGUAGUGGUUUAUUAGUUCAACCACAGAGUUGAAGGUUAGUGGGUCAGAGAAGCCAUAUUUCCCAUCUCGGUGAAAUAUUUUGAUUAACUUGUUAUUUCCUCCUUUCCUGUAAACACAAUAAAAUAAAGGGCAUUAUUACAAUCUUCUUUA
This is a long non-coding RNA of Felis catus (domestic cat), 2708 nucleotides long. RefSeq lists it as uncharacterized. The record is from RefSeq and is a predicted model, not a curated record. The transcript is spliced from 3 exons. Lineage: Eukaryota; Metazoa; Chordata; Mammalia; Carnivora; Felidae.